This 512-nucleotide ribosomal RNA is filed under the name uncultured bacterium. RNAcentral describes it as "partial 16S ribosomal RNA". It matches the Rfam family "Bacterial small subunit ribosomal RNA", at positions 28 to 523 of the family's 1533-position model. The record is from RNAcentral.
GACGAACGCUGGCGGCAUGCCUAAUACAUGCAAGUCGAGCGAACAGAUGAAGUGCUUGCACUUCUGACGUUAGCGGCGAACGGGUGAGUAACACGUAAGGAAUCUACCUAUAAGCGGGGGAUAACAUUCGGAAACGGGUGCUAAUACCGCAUAAUAUCUUCUUCCGCAUGAAGAAGAUUGAAAGACGGCUUUGCUGUCACUUCUAGAUUACCUUGCGGUGCAUUAGUUAGUUGGUGGGGUAAUGGCCUACCAAGACGAUGAUGCAUAACCGACCUGAAAGGGUGAUCGGCCACAUUGGGACUGAAACACGACCCAAACUCCUACGGGAGGCAGCAGUAGGGAAUCUUCCGCAAUGGGCGAAAUCCUGACGGAGCAAUGCCGCGUGAGUGAAGAAGGCCUUCGGGUCGUAAAACUCUGUUAUAAGAGAAGAACAAAUUGUAGAGUAACUGCUACAGUCUUGACGGUAUCUUAUCAGAAAGCCACGGCUAACUACGUGCCAGCCGCCGCAGUAA